This 1516-nucleotide long non-coding RNA is filed under the name Dermacentor andersoni. Its description in RNAcentral is "uncharacterized LOC126545299". Lineage: Eukaryota; Metazoa; Arthropoda; Arachnida; Ixodida; Ixodidae. The record is from RNAcentral.
ACUUCAGCAAGCAGUAUGUCUGGCAGAAUUGGCGGGACAAGCUGAGGCACUAAAGGAAUGUGAAACCAAUCAUGGUUGCUGGCUAUUCCUUGCUGCAGAAACAGCCCAAAAGUGCUAGUUUGACUAAAUACUAUGGGAGCAUACAAACCUCCUCUGUAGGGGAGAAGCAUGUAAGCAUGCAGAAGACUGCACAAAAUGUGGAAACCAACACACAUUGUUAUUGUGAUGGGCAAGCCAUUCUUGAACAUUUUGUGGGUAUGUACAGAUGACAUAGUUAAAUGCAUCUUUUUGCUGGUUUUAGUUGAAGUUACUUUUAAUAAUGUGGUUUCUUUACCUCUCUGUGUUGUUAUGUGGACUGGCACUUCUGUCUCAAACGGCUGGCAUGCAAACAGUGCAAAAUUUGCAGCCCCUCGAGUUCCCACGACCGCACAUUUGUUAUUCCUGUGUUCCAGCACAAAUUUUCCUUUAUCUUUUUACAUAUGGAAGUACGUCUGAUCUUAAUGUUUCAAGCAACAAAAUAGAAAAGAUCCCUAUUAUUUUUUUAGAAAAAAGAAAAGGUAUCUCUGAACCUAAAUGUAUCCUUGAAAAUAGUGCCAGGUACCUUCAUAUGUGUGUGCACACGGAAGCCUCUAUUUAUGGAAACAUUGUCUUGCACGUGAACUUCACUACAGCAGAUUGCUUCUUAUUCACUCAUAAGUUCAUCACUCACAUAGUCAUUGUUAUCAGCCUGAAGUCUGUUGUUCAAAGCAUUGCAAAUUGAACCUUGCUCAAACCCAUGGAAUCGCUUGCUCGAGUGAUAUUAACCAUUGCUUCUACAUCAGAUAGGCAGAAAUGGGCAUAAAUGUAUGUAGUAUGUAGUAGUGUAGCUGUGACCAGUGGACAUGCUCAUUCAUUAAAAUGAACUUAUACAUGGCAGGGUUUCUGCAGAGUGAUUAAACCUAGCUCUUCUAUUUGCAGGGACAUCUCCUACCAAUGCCAGGUUUGUUUAAUCAAAAGCUCUGCAUAGUACAGCAACUUUCCUUAACUUCCCGGUAACUAUGCUGUUGGCAGGAGAGCAACCAGUCAACCUGCUAUUUUAAGGGAGACAGUGUCAGAAGCUGCCAGAGUAGCAUCCCUUGGUGAAUUGGCCAUCUCCUGCCUGACUUCGUAAUCCUGCCAUUGACGUUGCUCCUCCAUGGACACGCGCAGCGCCUGAAAAGUAGAAUGACUGAGGCAACUGUGCACAGCAUGGAUGUACCCACCACUCCUAAGGGCACAUCCAAAAUAGACGGCGAGCAUCUGCUGCAGAUGCAGGAGCGGAGCAUUGCGGACACUGGACCAUGUCUUCCUACAGUUGACCCCAAGCACAAGUGAUGGCUGGUGUAAGGGCCGCCCCGGCCCAAAGUUCCGGGAGAGGGACUUUCUCCACCCGAGAAAGAUUGUGGGGAAGGGAGCAGACAUGUGGUGGGGAGAGGGCUCGUGUGUCACGCCAGAGGAUGGAUUUUCCAGCAAUGAAAACAGGGAAGGCAAAGAGGAG